AUACGUAGGGGGCGAGCGUUGUCCGGAUUUAUUGGGCGUAAAGGGUGCGUAGGCGGCCUUGUAAGUCAGAUGUGAAAGAUCAUGGCUUAACUGUGGUAAGCAUUUGAAACUGCAGGGCUUGAGUACAGGAGAGGAGAGUGGAAUUCCUAGUGUAGCGGUGGAAUGCGUAGAUAUUAGGAGGAAUACCAGUGGCGAAGGCGACUCUCUGGACUGAUACUGACGGUGAGGCACGAAAGCGUGGGGAGCAAACAGGAUUAGAUACCCUGGUAGGCCACGCUAUAAACGAUGAGUGCUAGGUGGCGGGGGUCAAACCUCGGUGCCGCAGUUAACACAUUAAGCACUCCGCCUGGGGAGUACGGCCGCAAGGCUGAAACUCAAAUGAAUUGACGGGG
This 392-nucleotide ribosomal RNA is filed under the name uncultured bacterium. RNAcentral describes it as "partial 16S ribosomal RNA". It matches the Rfam family "Bacterial small subunit ribosomal RNA", at positions 523 to 918 of the family's 1533-position model. The record is from RNAcentral.